Talpa occidentalis (Iberian mole) is the source of this 2666-nucleotide long non-coding RNA. RefSeq lists it as uncharacterized. NCBI's taxonomy places the organism in Eukaryota, Metazoa, Chordata, Mammalia, Eulipotyphla, Talpidae. The record is from RefSeq and is a predicted model, not a curated record. The transcript has 4 exons.
AGUAAUAUUCAUUGCUACUCCUGCAAUUAUUUCUAACUUUCCACCAGAUUGUCCUGUACCUUUCAGGUGACCUUACUUUGGGUGAGGAAACACAUUAAAAUAUCAUAUGUUGAAUCAGGCUGUCUGUUUUGGCACCGUCUUCUAUGGUUCAGUGUUAACCCCCUGUUUCAGCUGCACCUGGUGCAUUGGAAUGCAGUCAAAUUUGAAAGCUUUGAGGAUGCAGCACUGGAAGAAAAUGGCUUGGCAGUGAUAGGGGUGUUUUUAAAGCUAGGCAAACAUCAUCAAGGCCUACAGAAAUUGGUGGAUACUUUGCCAUCAAUUAAGCAUAAGGACACCGUUGUGGAGUUUGGGUCGUUCGACCCUUCCUGUCUGAUGCCCACCUGCCCCGAUUACUGGACCUACUCGGGUCCCUGACGACCCCGCCGCUCCUCUGAGUCCGUCACCUGGAUCAUUAAGAAGCAGCCGGUGGAGGUUGACCAUGACCAGCUUGAGCAGUUUCGGACCCUGCUUUUCACUUCUGAGGGGGAGAAAGAGAAAAAAAUGGUUGACAACUUCCGCCCUCUGCAGCCCCUCAUGAACCGCACUGUCCGUUCGUCCUUCCGUCACGAUUACGUGCUGAAUAUACAAGUGAAACCCAAGCCCUCGGCCAGCCAAGUGACCCCCUAAGUUAACGCACAUCAAGGCAGUAUUUUGCUUUUGUACAUACUAGCUUUUCAAAAAAUUAACUAGACUAUUCUAAGUGCCUGCAUUUAAUAAUAAUUUAUAGAUAAGCAUUUCUGGGUACGGCAGUGCUCCCUCAUCGAGGAAUGCUGGUGAAUAAACAAAUUCUUGUUUUUAUUGAUGAUGUAUAUCACCCGAAGAGGCCAACAAGACACACAGGUUUUUGUUACAGCAAUUUGUUGGUAAUUGUAAUGUCUUAAUGUCUGAUGUUUUGAGCUGUGCUUUUGUGUUUGUCAAUUAGUGGUUCUAUAGAGUUAUAAGUAGAGAUGAUGAUGAUUAAAGUAUUUAACAAUUGGGACGGCACCUCAGAAGGCAAGCCUUUCGGAGACAGCCUUAAGGCCCAGACUGGUACAUCCUGGCUGAAGCCUGGCCAUGAUUUUAGGUAUAUUUUACUCACCUUAAAGGACUGGUCACAUAGAAAGCCUAUGCAGAACAUUUUCAAGAAAAUGCUUACAGUGCCUAGGAUUUAAAAUUGUUUCAGGAUGUGUUCACAGAAAUAUUUUUCAAAAGACUAGUAAUAUAUUAGUCUAUAAUUUCUAGUAUUAAUAUGCAUUAUCUGUAUUCCGUUUCAUAGAAUAUGAUAAUAUUUUCUACCAUGACAGUACUGUCUUGGAUUCCCUUCAAAACUUUCUGAACUUUAUUAGUCAAGGUUCUGUGCAUGGCAGGUGAUCAAUGUGUCCCCAAAUUGAUACAGUGGGUUAGAAGACUUUUGCUACAGUAAUAGGGAAUAAUACUUGUCAGAUUAGGAAAAAAUCUAGAUAAUUCUAUGUAUUUUGAGGAAUCCAUGCCACUGUUGCCUUGUCUGUAAGUAUCCUGGAAUGUUUCUACUUGCCUAUAAGCCUGUGUUCAGACUCAUUACAUAAACUAGCAUUAUUUUUUCAUUAAUAUCUAGUCAUCUGGUAGCCUGCAAGGCAAUGUUGACAGGAUAUACUUAACACUACUCAACUUUGCACUGGAAAACGUUAAGAUGGUAAGUUUUUAUGUUCAGGUUCCCUCCACUAUCUGAAAGUAAAGUGUUCCUGUUUGGCAGAAUUUGGUAGGUUAUUUUUGGGAUCUAGGAAUACUCAAUUUUUUGUCCAUAUAAAUUAAUAGUAAUAGCAUUCCCAGAUUCUACCCCCACCCCAAUAACCUACCAAAUCCUACCAAACAGGAAUGUUCUACUUUCAGAUAGCAGAGGAAACCUGUAGUGUUUAUUACCACAAUUAAAUGAUAAACCUAGUAGGAAAUAAAAACAGAAUUGGAGUGUGCAAUUUCGGGGGGAUAGCUCUUCUCUAAAGAGUAGGGGAGGGUGAAGGCAUUUGCUUUGAGAGUACAUGCCUUCUCUGGAAAAGGGAUGCCCUGGGAAAUGAAUAAAAUUCUUAAAAAGAUAAAUGUGGGGAAGUUUAUGUUAACUUCAUAUAACUGAUCUGUCUCAAACCACAGUUAGCUUUAAAGAGGGUAAGCACACAAGAGAUGCAUUUUCCUGGGCACACAGGCUUCCCUCUAGGUCUCUUGCAAACUCUUAGUGCAAAAUUCUGUUGCAGUGAGACUUCAAAAUUGGAGAGCUUAGUGUAGACACCCUCCUUGCCAGAACAUCUUUGAGAUACACGGGCUGUAUUUACAGGGUGUGCUCCGGUUUGCUUCCCCUGAUUUACUUAGACCAGGUAUUCUGAUUUAAUUAUUAACAGCACCCCUUUCAUUCUGAACCAUGUUCUAGCUUGCAUGGUAAUUCUUGGUCACCUUCUCUGCAGAGGUUAUGGAAACCGCCUUGGGGAUUUCCUCAAUGACUUAGUCAUAUGACAAGGGGUGCCCUGGCUACUGAUACACCCUAGCACUUUUUACAAAAGUGGUUUUCCUUGUACUUUCUGAGACAUGAAGGGGAAUAUGAACUUGAGAUCUGUCAAAGGGCUUGAGAAAGAAUUUCCUAUUGAAAUUGCUGCUCAUCUUCAUUCAAUAUUAGAUUAAUA